This 422-nucleotide ribosomal RNA is filed under the name uncultured Glomeraceae. RNAcentral describes it as "SSU rRNA". It matches the Rfam family "Eukaryotic small subunit ribosomal RNA", at positions 459 to 886 of the family's 1831-position model. Lineage: Eukaryota; Fungi; Glomeromycota; Glomeromycetes; Glomerales; Glomeraceae. The record is from RNAcentral.
GGGAGGUAGUGACAAUAAAUAACAAUACGGGGUUCUUUAGGAUCUCGUAAUUGGAAUGAGUACAAUUUAAAUCUCUUAACGAGGAACAAUUGGAGGGCAAGUCUGGUGCCAGCAGCCGCGGUAAUUCCAGCUCCAAUAGCGUAUAUUAAAGUUGUUGCAGUUAAAAAGCUCGUAGUUGAAUUUCGGGGUUAGUAGGUUGGUCAUGCCUCUGGUAUGUACUGGUCUCACUGAUUCCUCCUUCCUUAUGAACCGUAAUGCCAUUAAUUUGGUGUUGCGGGGAAUUUGGACUGUUACUUUGAAAAAUUAGAGUGUUUAAAGCAAGCUAACGCUUGAAUACAUUAGCAUGGAAUAAUGAAAUAGGACGUUCGAUCUUAUUUUGUUGGUUUCUAGGAUUGACGUAAUGAUUAAUAGGGAUAGUUGGG